Molecule: small nuclear RNA, 103 nt
Organism: Ochotona curzoniae (black-lipped pika)
Lineage: Eukaryota; Metazoa; Chordata; Mammalia; Lagomorpha; Ochotonidae
Source: RefSeq, a predicted model, not a curated record
UUGCUUCAGUAGCACAUAUGCUAACAUUGGAAUGAUACGGAGAAGAUCAGCAUGGGCGCUGCACAAGGAUGACACGCAAAUUCAUGAAGCAUCCCAUUCAUUU